AGAAUUCUCUAGAGCUCUGGAACCAUCCUCGUCCCAGGACAGACAGCAAGGGCAUAUGCCGCUAACAAGCCUGGUUCCACAGCCCCUCACCAGGGUUCAGAGGGUCUCUGCAGUUUCUUACCUCUACUCUUGCUUCGUCUUCCCCAAGACAGGAACUGAAGAAGUCAAGAUGCUGUCGCUCAUGAAGUGCCAGUGCAGGGCAUUGGGGAGGCUUGUUUGAGAAAUACGUAGCAAAAGGAAGAAUGUGUAUUUGGGACCAGCAAGGAAACCUGGGAGGGUGGGGAUGAUCUUGUCCAGUGUCUAAAAAUUUUGAUAAGCUCAAAUGCGACCCAGGCAAUUCUUGUUCCUGAGGAGAAUUCUGUCCAGUGGGUGGUAUAUGGCAUAGAAAGAGUUCAGGCAGAUGGCCAGAUCGUGGUUCCAGGUAGUAUUUCUUCUGUUUACAAGACAAGGGUUUGUGAAACAGAUGAUAGGCUACAGCAUCUAGUCAUCAAGGAGAGAAAGUGGUUAUUGAGAGCUAGGCAGCAACAUGGUGACCUUGCAUACUUCCAAGGUACAGAACAGAGCUCUAGUCUAAGUAGAGAUCAAGAGGGCUUGUUAGGGAAACUGAGGCAUAAGCCCAGUCGUGAGAACUAGAAUGGUAUAGGGCAAGGAGAAAAGGGUGAUUGAUGCAUCAUAGUGGCUUCAAGCAUACCCAGAGCUCACCCCCGCAUGACAGAUCUCAUGCCAGACUUCAUGAGCUUGUACACUGGGAGCUCUAGUAGGAUUUCUGUUCUGGUUGGAACUGGCUUUAGGGAUAAAUGGGGCCGGGUCUGGGCCUGACCUGGUGGGAGUAGACAUAUCUUGGAGAGGCCAGAAAGAGGCAGAGGAAAGGAGCAACAAUCACAGAAUACCAGGUAGGUACAGCUGUGUAGGAGCAGCAGCAAGCAGGCUGAAGUCCAUCAGGCUAUUACCUAGGAGUCUGUCUUGGGAACCACUGCUGCUUGGACUACCACAGUCCUUAGACACUCUGUUUGAGGCUCCAGGCAGGAAUGCCAAUGGACACAGCACAGGAAUGCACAGGAAGCAGAAGCACUAGGAUUUAACUACCAUGCCCUGCACAGAUUCCUUAAUUCCUUCUUGGUGAUUCAGAGUAGAGUUUCCACUCUACAGGUCCUCUCCCGGUGGCCUCUUUCUCCAGCAAGAUAGUCAGAUGUCUCUCAUGGAUAAAAUCAAAAUCAUCAUCUAAGAGUGAAGUGGAAGAAGAAACUUCGGAGGUUUGAGAAGUGUGAACAGUCUAGUAUCUUUGGG
This is a long non-coding RNA of Equus caballus (horse), 1287 nucleotides long. The record is from Ensembl. NCBI's taxonomy places the organism in Eukaryota, Metazoa, Chordata, Mammalia, Perissodactyla, Equidae.